CCAGCUCCUCCUCCUCCUCCUCCAGCUCCUCCUCCUCCUCCACCCAGCUCCUCCUCCUCCUCCAGCUCCUCCUCCUCCUCCUCCAGCUCCUCCUCCUCCACCACCACCCUGCUACCCAUCAUCUAAAGAUUAUUAAACCCGUUACCGUGACGCCCAGGAGACUGUGGGGGGGUCCUCCGUAUCGACUGUAUCUACUCCCCCUUUACUCCUACUUUGUAACUAGACUUCUUGCCUUGUAAGUAACCCCCCCCUCCUUAAUGUAACCACGGCGACGGCCUGGUCCCCAGCAUCAUAACCCCUCUGUAUAAACUCCUGGCAGCUCGCUGUAACUCCUGUAUGACCUCCGACCUGUCCUGCAUCCCCCCCCCCCCCCCCCCCCCCCGAUGAUUAUCAGGCCCACCCCAGGCCAUGCCUGAUUGGCUGUUGACAUGUAGAGGAAGCUCACUGAUUGGUGGGGAGCUGUAACGAGUGUCAGGCGGUUUGGUUAUGAAGGCAGCCAUGAGAUCGUCUGAUUAAGGUCAGAGCGACGAGGCCCAGAGGACGAGGAACCAAACAGAACACAACGGCCAUUCCUCGAAUCUUUAGUCAUGUUUCAAUUCUGUGAAACAAAACCUUAAUCUGCCCCUUAUAGUCGAAUAUGAAACGCUAGUGUGGUUAAUUAAUCUGCUCUGUCCUCAUGUAGCCUAAUGUGCUGCUGACCACUCCGGUCAGACCAGGUGGUCGUGGUCACAGCACACCUCCGUAGGGCUGGCCUGUUGCCGUGGCAGCCAGCGGGACGGACCAGGCUAGUGUAGUAGCUAAACCAAAGCGUGGAGGAGGAGCCGUCUGAGGGGUCCCAGGGCGGGGCUCAUUACCUUGCCUCCCUCGGUCCAGGGGGGGCGUGUCGGCAUGUUGUCUGGGCGACGCCCACUACGGGGUUCACUGUAAAUCUCCCCGCCAAGGCCCCGCCCCCUUGUUCAGUAUGGAAUCGUGUAUGUUUAUCGCUAUCUCUGUGGAUUAAAUAUUAAACAUUUGUGCGCUGAAAAAACUA
This is a long non-coding RNA of Gadus morhua (Atlantic cod), 1030 nucleotides long. RefSeq lists it as uncharacterized. Lineage: Eukaryota; Metazoa; Chordata; Actinopteri; Gadiformes; Gadidae. The transcript is spliced from 2 exons. The record is from RefSeq and is a predicted model, not a curated record.